Molecule: ribosomal RNA, 482 nt
Filed under: uncultured bacterium
Lineage: Bacteria
Description: partial 16S ribosomal RNA
Rfam family: Bacterial small subunit ribosomal RNA
Source: RNAcentral
AUUGAACGCUGGCGGCAUGCCUUACACAUGCAAGUCGAGCGGUAACAGGUCUUCGGAUGCUGACGAGUGGCGAACGGGUGGGUAAUACAUCGGAACGUGCCCAGACGUGGGGGAUAACGAGGCGAAAGCUUUGCUAAUACCGCAUACGAUCUAAGCAUGAAAGCAGGGGACCGCAAGGCCUUGUUCGGUUGGAGCGGCCGAUGGCAGAUUAGGUAGUUGGUGGGAUAAAAGCUUACCAAGCCGACGAUCUGUAGCGGGUCUGAGAGGACGACCAGCCACACUGGGACUGAGACACGGACCAGACUCCUACGGGAGGCAGCAGUGGGGAAUGUUGGACAAUGGGCGAAAGCCUGAUCCAGCAAUGCCGCGUGCAGGAUGAAGGCCUUCGGGUUGUAAACUGCUUUUGUACGGAACGAAAAGGCUCUGGCUAAUACCUGGGGCACAUGACGGUACCGGAAGAAUAAGCACCGGCUAACUACGUG